AUGGAAAUAUCUGAUUAUAUAACACAAUUUGAAGAAGACCUAAACAAGCUACAGAAUAAAUGCAAAAAUAAUAAAUAUUUUGUAUUAGAGUUAGAUAGAAAAGGUGAAGAUUUAAAAAUGGCGUGGGAAGUAUUUGACGACUUAACCAAACAAAUUGACAAAAAAAGGGCAGACACUAGAAAUAUCCAUUUACAUAGCAUAAAUGAACCAUUUACUAGUAUAGAUGUAUUUACUGCAAAAAGCCAUUUAAGUGGAAUGGUUUUUGAAAAUCAGCACUUUGAAUUACCUACAGAUAUGCCAAGUGAAUGCAGCAAAACACUUGCUAAAUGCAUUUUGAAUAAAAGUUUAGAUGUUGAAAAGUGCUACACAUGUCAUAUACAAGGUCUUGAAUUAAUCACAAACUUAUCGUGCCUUAUGUAUAGUAAUUAUCCCAUACCCUUUUUGUAUUUCGACGAACAAAUGGAUACAGAUAAUGAAAAAAAAAAACAAAAAAAAGAAGAACCUUAACAAAAUGACUUAACAUCGUCAUUUUUGGAUGAUGACACAGAUCCACAGGAUAAACCAAAAACAAACGCUGCAAAAUUACAUAAUAAACAUCAAUAUAUAAUAAAUAACA
RNAcentral lists this long non-coding RNA (616 nucleotides) under Piliocolobus tephrosceles (Ugandan red Colobus). RNAcentral's name for it is "lncRNA (ENSPTEG00000010872.1)". The record is from RNAcentral. Lineage: Eukaryota; Metazoa; Chordata; Mammalia; Primates; Cercopithecidae.